UGUUAAAAAAUUCAUUCAUUUGUACUGUUAUAAAAAUUGGCAUAAUUGACGAAAUAACCAAAUAAUGACAUGUGACUUGCCACGAAUACCUCAUGCUAAUAUACAUGAAUCAGUUUUUAACAAUAGAAAUGAAUGAUUUUUUUAACA
Non-coding RNA from Gossypium arboreum, 147 nucleotides. NCBI's taxonomy places the organism in Eukaryota, Viridiplantae, Streptophyta, Magnoliopsida, Malvales, Malvaceae. The record is from Rfam.